AAUUCUCAACCGUCCUUUGAUUUAUUUCGAGGGGUGGCUUGGAUCUUGGGGGUUGCUGGCUGAUCCUAGUCGGCUCUCCUUAAAAGCAUUAGCGAAAGGUGGCAAGCCCUGCAUGCACGGCCUUCGACGUGAUAAUGAUCGUCGUGGCUGGAGUGUGAGGCUUGGAUAUAAACCUUUGCUUCUAAACCAUCGUAAUUGGGGGACUUUUUGCUUCGGCGGACGAACCUUUUUACUUUUUCUGACG
This 244-nucleotide unclassified non-coding RNA is filed under the name uncultured Paxillaceae. Its description in RNAcentral is "sequence contains ITS2". Lineage: Eukaryota; Fungi; Basidiomycota; Agaricomycetes; Boletales; Paxillaceae. RNAcentral also lists the same sequence under 1 other name. The record is from RNAcentral.